CGCUGGCGGCGUGCUCAACACAUGCAAGUCGAACGAACCUUCGGGUUAGUGGCGGACGGGUGAGUAACGCGUGAGAAUCUGCCCUCAGGAGGGGGAUAACAGCUGGAAACGGCUGCUAAUACCCCAUAUGCCGCGAGGUGAAAUGAAUUUCGCCUGAGGAUGAGCUCGCGUCUGAUUAGCUAGUUGGUGUGGGUAAUGGCUCACCAAGGCAUCGAUCAGUAGCUGGUCUGAGAGGAUGAUCAGCCACACUGAGACUGAGACACGGCCCAGACUCCUACGGGAGGCAGCAGUGGGGAAUUUUCCGCAAUGGGCGAAAGCCUGACGGAGCAACGCCGCGUGAGGGAUGAAGGCCUCUGGGCUGUAAACCUCUUUUAUCAAGGAAGAAGAUCUGACGGUACUUGAUGAAUAAGCCACGGCUAAUUCCGUGC
This 428-nucleotide ribosomal RNA is filed under the name uncultured bacterium. RNAcentral describes it as "bacterial SSU rRNA". It matches the Rfam family "Bacterial small subunit ribosomal RNA", at positions 34 to 508 of the family's 1533-position model. The record is from RNAcentral.